GAUGAACGCUGGCGGCGUGCCUAACACAUGCAAGUCGAACGGAAAGGCCCUGCUUUUGCGGGGUGCUCGAGUGGCGAACGGGUGAGAAACACGUGAGUAUCCCGCCCUUGACUUUGGGAUAACUUUAGGGAACUGGGGCUAAUACCGGAUAGGAGCUCUUGCUGCACGGUGGGGGUUGGAAAGUUUCGGCGGUUGGGGAUGGAAUAGCGGCUUACCAGCUUGUUGGUGGGGUAGUGGCGUACCAAGCCUUCGAAGGAUAGCCGGCCUGAGAGGGUGGCCGGGGACAAUGGGACUGCGAGACGGCCCAGACGCGUACGGGAGGCAACAGGCGAAAGUAUUACACAGUGAGCGGAAGCCUGAUACGGAGGCGCCGCGUGCGGAAUGACGGCCUUCGGGGUAUGAACCGCUUUCGCCUGAGACAAAGCGGGAGUGACGGUAAUGGGUAAAGAAGCACCGGCUAACUACGUG
RNAcentral lists this ribosomal RNA (468 nucleotides) under uncultured bacterium. Its description in RNAcentral is "partial 16S ribosomal RNA". It matches the Rfam family "Bacterial small subunit ribosomal RNA", at positions 28 to 507 of the family's 1533-position model. The record is from RNAcentral.